Non-coding RNA from Angiostrongylus costaricensis, 82 nucleotides. NCBI's taxonomy places the organism in Eukaryota, Metazoa, Nematoda, Chromadorea, Rhabditida, Metastrongylidae. The record is from Rfam.
GCAGCGAUGUCCGAGUGGUUAAGGAGAUUGACUAGAAAACAAUCAGGCUCUGCCCGCGUAGGAUCGAGUCCUGCUCGCUGCG